This 245-nucleotide ribosomal RNA is filed under the name uncultured bacterium. RNAcentral's name for it is "partial 16S ribosomal RNA". It matches the Rfam family "Bacterial small subunit ribosomal RNA", at positions 528 to 772 of the family's 1533-position model. The record is from RNAcentral.
GAGGAUGCGAGCGUUAUCCGGAUUUAUUUGGUUUAAAGGGUGCGUAGGUGGUCUUUUAAGUCAGCGGUGAAAGUUUGUGGCUCAACCAUAAAAUUGCCAUUGAAACUGGGAGACUUGAGUAUGUUUGAGGUAGGCGGAAUGCGUGGUGUAGCGGUGAAAUGCAUAGAUAUCACGCAGAACUCCGAUUGCGAAGGCAGCUUGCCAAGCCAUAACUGACACUGAAGCACGAAAGCGUGGGUAUCAAA